Molecule: small RNA, 888 nt
Filed under: Cephalotrichum purpureofuscum
Lineage: Eukaryota; Fungi; Ascomycota; Sordariomycetes; Microascales; Microascaceae
Description: eukaryotic LSU rRNA
Rfam family: Eukaryotic large subunit ribosomal RNA
Source: RNAcentral
GCGGAGGAAAAGAAACCAACAGGGAUUGCCUCAGUAACGGCGAGUGAAGCGGCAACAGCUCAAAUUUGAAAUCUGGUCCCCUCUGGGGGCCCGAGUUGUAAUUUGAAGAGGAUGCUUUUGGCGAGGCGCCUUCCGAGUGCCCUGGAACGGGACGCCACAGAGGGUGAGAGCCCCGUAUGGUAGGACGCCGAGCCUCUGUAAAGCUCCUUCGACGAGUCGAGUAGUUUGGGAAUGCUGCUCAAAAUGGGAGGUAAACCCCUUCUAAAGCUAAAUAUUGGCCAGAGACCGAUAGCGCACAAGUAGAGUGAUCGAAAGAUGAAAAGCACUUUGAAAAGAGAGUUAAACAGCACGUGAAAUUGUUGAAAGGGAAGCGCUUGCGACCAGACUUGCGCCCGUCGGAUCAACCGUCCCUCGUGGGCGGCGCACUCCGGCGGGCUCAGGCCAGCAUCAGUUUUCCUGGGGGUAGAAAGGCGGUGGGAAUGUAGCUCUUCGGAGUGUUAUAGCCCGCCGUGUAAUGCCCUCGGGGGGACUGAGGACCGCGCGUAUGCAAGGAUGCUGGCGUAAUGGUCGUCAGCGACCCGUCUUGAAACACGGACCAAGGAGUCGUCCUAAUAUGCGAGUGUACGGGUGUAAAACCCCUGCGCGUAAUGAAAGUGAACGGAGGUGAGAGCUUCGGCGCAUCAUCGACCGAUCCUGAUGUUCUCGGAUGGAUUUGAGUAAGAGCAUAUUGGGCCGGACCCGAAAGAAGGUGAACUAUGCCUGUAUAGGGUGAAGCCAGAGGAAACUCUGGUGGAGGCUCGCAGCGGUUCUGACGUGCAAAUCGAUCGUCAAAUAUGGGCAUGGGGGCGAAAGACUAAUCGAACCUUCUAGUAGCUGGUUUCCGCCGAU